Molecule: unclassified non-coding RNA, 278 nt
Filed under: uncultured fungus
Lineage: Eukaryota; Fungi
Description: partial contains 5.8S ribosomal RNA, internal transcribed spacer 2, and large subunit ribosomal RNA
Rfam family: 5.8S ribosomal RNA (bases 1-52)
Source: RNAcentral
AACGCACAUUGCGCCCGCUGGUAUUCCAGCGGGCAUGCCUGUUCGAGCGUCAUUUCGACCACUUAAGCCUUUUUUUGUUGCUUAGCGUUGGGAGCCUACCGCGGCGGCCUCGGCCGUGCGGUCGCUCCCCAAAGUCAGUGGCGGAGCCGGGUUCGUGCUCUAGGCGUAGUAGAAUCUUCCAUCUCGCCUGCAGCCGGGACCGGUCCCCUGCCGUAAAACACCCCACUUUUUUUUAAAUGGUUGACCUCGGAUCAGGUAGGAAUACCCGCUGAACUUAA